This 712-nucleotide ribosomal RNA is filed under the name uncultured Inocybe. RNAcentral's name for it is "eukaryotic LSU rRNA". The stretch from base 240 to 393 matches the Rfam family "5.8S ribosomal RNA". Lineage: Eukaryota; Fungi; Basidiomycota; Agaricomycetes; Agaricales; Cortinariaceae. The record is from RNAcentral.
GUAGGUGAACCUGCGGAAGGAUCAUUAUCGAAAUACUGACGACGAGUUGUCGCUGGUUCUGUGCACGCUCGUCGUUCUUAAUUUCUCCAUCUAUUUGUGCACCCCUUGUGUGGAUCUGUCCCUCGGGACGAUUGGGGACUGCUUUGCGAAACGACCUUUUGCGGGCUUUCCUCGUGUAGAUCCUCAUUUUCUUCACAUACCACUUGUAAAUAGAGAAGGGUCGGAAUCAUAAAAUAUACAACUUUCAGCAACGGAUCUCUUGGCUCUCGCAUCGAUGAAGAACGCAGCGAAAUGCGAUAAGUAAUGUGAAUUGCAGAAUUCAGUGAAUCAUCGAAUCUUUGAACGCAUCUUGCGCUCCUUGGUAUUCCGAGGAGCAUGCCUGUUUGAGUGUCAUUAAUAUCUCAACCAUGCGCUUCCGCGCAUGGCUUGGACUUGGGGGGAUGAUGCAGGCUCCGACUCCAGUCGGUCUGCUCCCCUGAAAUACAUGAGCGAAAUGAAGGGCCUCUUUGUUGGGUGUGAUAGCUCUAUCUGCAUCCGAGGGGUCGUCCGCCUUCGCCGCUUUGGAUCUCAUUUCGACUUGACCUCAAAUCAGGUAGGACCACCCGCUGAACUUAAGCAUAUCAAUAAGCGGAGGAAAAGAAACUAACCAGGAUUCCCCUAGUAACUGCGAGUGAACCGGGAAGAGCUCAAAUUUGUAAUCUGGCGGUCUUUC